Non-coding RNA from Tephrocybe rancida, 96 nucleotides. NCBI's taxonomy places the organism in Eukaryota, Fungi, Basidiomycota, Agaricomycetes, Agaricales, Lyophyllaceae. The record is from the annotation of a GenBank genome assembly.
UCUGGUAUGGUGUAAAGGCCAACAUUGCCGCCUUUCUUGUCAGCCAUCCUAAGCCAAUUUUCGCGGCAGAUUGGGGUUCGAUUCCCCGUACCGGAA